This 253-nucleotide ribosomal RNA is filed under the name uncultured bacterium. Its description in RNAcentral is "partial 16S ribosomal RNA". It matches the Rfam family "Bacterial small subunit ribosomal RNA", at positions 524 to 776 of the family's 1533-position model. The record is from RNAcentral.
UACAGAGGUCCCGAGCGUUGUUCGGAUUCAUUGGGCGUAAAGGGUGCGUAGGCGGCGAGGCAAGUCUGAUGUGAAAUCCCGGGGCUCAACCCCGGAACUGCAUUGGAUACUGCCCUGCUAGAGUACUGGAGAGGGAACUGGAAUUUACGGUGUAGCAGUGAAAUGCGUAGAGAUCGUAAGGAAGGCCAGUGGCGAAGGCGAGUUCCUGGACAGUGACUGACGCUGAGGCACGAAGGCCAGGGGAGCAAACGGG